GGAAUUUUGCGCAAUGGGCGAAAGCCUGACGCAGCAACGCCGCGUGGGGGAAGAAGGCCCUCGGGUCGUAAACCCCUUUUGUAAGGGAAGUAACUGACGGUACCUUACGAAUAAGCCACGGCUAACUACGUGCCAGCAGCCGCGGUAAUACGUAGGUGGCAAGCGUUGUCCGGAUUUACUGGGCGUAAAGGGCGCGCAGGCGGCGCAUCAAGUCUGGGGUGAAAUCUCCCGGCUCAACCGGGAGAGGUCUUUGGAUACUGAUGUGCUUGAGGGAAGCAGAGGAAAGCGUAAUUCCCGGUGUAGCGGUGAUAUGCGUAGAUAUCGGGAGGAACACCAGUGGCGAAGGCGGCUUUCUGGGCUUUUCCUGACGCUGAGGCGCGAAAGCGUGGGGAGCGAAC
This 398-nucleotide ribosomal RNA is filed under the name uncultured bacterium. Its description in RNAcentral is "bacterial SSU rRNA". It matches the Rfam family "Bacterial small subunit ribosomal RNA", at positions 358 to 773 of the family's 1533-position model. The record is from RNAcentral.